CCUACGGGUGGCAGCAGUGGGGAAUAUUGCACAAUGGGGGAAACCCUGAAGCAGCAACGCCGCGUGGAGGAUGAAGGUUUUCGGAUUGUAAAGUCCUUUCGGCAGAGAAGAUAAUGACGGUAUCUAAGGAAUAAGCACCGGCUAACUCCGUGCCAGCAGCCGCGGUAAUACGUAGGGUGCAAGCGUUACUCGGAAUCACUGGGCGUAAAGAGCGCGUAGACGGGAAAGCAAGUCAGAUGUGAAAGCCUAUGGCUCAACCAUAGAACUGCAUUUGAAACUUUUAUUCUAGAGUAUGGGAGAGGUAGGCGGAAUUCUUGGUGUAGGGGUGAAAUGCGUAGAGAUCAGGAGGAACACUCGUUGCGAAGGCGACCUACUGGAAGAUAACUGACGUUGAUGCUCGAAAGCGUGGGGAGCAAACAGGAUUAGAUACCCGAGUAGUC
RNAcentral lists this ribosomal RNA (440 nucleotides) under uncultured bacterium. RNAcentral's name for it is "partial 16S ribosomal RNA". It matches the Rfam family "Bacterial small subunit ribosomal RNA", at positions 338 to 795 of the family's 1533-position model. The record is from RNAcentral.